GACGAACGCUGGCGGCGUGCUUAACACAUGCAAGUCGAACGGAAAGGCCCUGCUUUUGUGGGGUGCUCGAGUGGCGAACGGGUGAGUAACACGUGAGUAACCUGCCCUUGACUUUGGGAUAACUUCAGGAAACUGGGGCUAAUACCGGAUAGGGGCUCCUGCUGCAUGGUGGGGGUUGGAAAGUUUCGGCGGUUGGGGAUGGACUCGCGGCUUAUCAGCUUGUUGGUGGGGUAGUGGCUUACCAAGGCUUUGACGGGUAGCCGGCCUGAGAGGGUGGCCGGCGACAUUGGGACUGAGAGACGGCCCAGACUCCUACGGGAGGCAGCAGUGGGGAAUAUUGCACAAUGGGCGGAAGCCUGAUGCAGCAACGCCGCGUGCGGGAUGACGGCCUUCGGGUUGUAAACCGCUUUCGCCUGUGACGAAGCGUGAGUGACGGUAAUGGGUAAAGAAGCACCGGCUAACUACGUG
Molecule: ribosomal RNA, 468 nt
Filed under: uncultured bacterium
Lineage: Bacteria
Description: partial 16S ribosomal RNA
Rfam family: Bacterial small subunit ribosomal RNA
Source: RNAcentral